RNAcentral lists this long non-coding RNA (318 nucleotides) under Solanum tuberosum (potato). Its description in RNAcentral is "long non-coding RNA (STUB_LNC010034)". Lineage: Eukaryota; Viridiplantae; Streptophyta; Magnoliopsida; Solanales; Solanaceae. The record is from RNAcentral.
AAAUAUCAAACAAGUCAAAAGGGUUUUUCUUUUCUCUCUAAAAAAAUUAAAAAACAAUACGCCAUAUAAGAUAAUUGGUUCAAAGGGACUAUUCUCAGGAAAAGAACCAAAAAUAAAAGGCGAGGAACCCAUCCUAAAAAAAUAAACGACUCAAUAAAACAGUAAAAACUAGAAAUCCAUUUCCCCGCCCCACACUUAAAAAAUGUUAUGUCCCCAAAACAUCAAUUAAAAUUUAAAACAAUGAUUAGAAAAACUCUCUAAGGCCUCUAAGCCUAGCUACUACAUGUUUUGUCAAUUUUCAUCAAAGGUAGUAUGCAC